GAUCUGGCUCAGGAUGAACGCUAGCGGCAGGCCUAACACAUGCAAGUCGAGGGGCAGCGGGGAUUGAGCUUGCUCAAUUUGCCGGCGACCGGCGCACGGGUGCGUAACGCGUAUGUAACCUACCCUGAACUGGGGAAUAACACUGAGAAAUCGGUACUAAUACCCCAUAAUACACUGGAAGGCAUCUUUUGGUGUUGAAAGCUCCGGCGGUUCAAGAUGGACAUGCGUUGUAUUAGCUAGUUGG
Molecule: ribosomal RNA, 244 nt
Filed under: uncultured bacterium
Lineage: Bacteria
Description: partial 16S ribosomal RNA
Rfam family: Bacterial small subunit ribosomal RNA
Source: RNAcentral